This 253-nucleotide ribosomal RNA is filed under the name uncultured bacterium. RNAcentral's name for it is "partial 16S ribosomal RNA". It matches the Rfam family "Bacterial small subunit ribosomal RNA", at positions 524 to 776 of the family's 1533-position model. The record is from RNAcentral.
UACGUAGGGUGCGAGCGUUAAUCGGAAUUACUGGGCGUAAAGCGUGCGCAGGCGGUUGGUUAAGUCUGAUGGGAAAGCCCCGGGCUCAACCUGGGAAUGGCAUUGGAAACUGGCUGGCUAGAGUGUGGCAGAGGGGGGUGGAAUUCCGCGUGUAGCAGUGAAAUGCGUAGAGAUGCGGAGGAACACCGAUGGCGAAGGCAGCCCCCUGGGCUAGCACUGACGCUCAGGCACGAAAGCGUGGGGAGCAAACAGG